Molecule: unclassified non-coding RNA, 1412 nt
Filed under: Hevea brasiliensis (rubber tree)
Lineage: Eukaryota; Viridiplantae; Streptophyta; Magnoliopsida; Malpighiales; Euphorbiaceae
Source: RNAcentral
GGAGAAUUGCUUACAUCUUCGGUGUCUCCGUCUCUCAUCUCUUCCCCUUAAAUCUUCUUCCUAGAUUCAAUUGCAGUCUUUUUGUUUGUCUCUUUGAUUUAAGAUAUUCACCUUCCAUUUCUUUCGAUUCCUCCUUUGUGGAGGAAUUGAAUCUCCAUUCUCUGCUUGCAAUUCCUCUGUAAACAGAAAUGUCGGUGAUUUCAAAUUUCACGGCAUGUAGUCUCGGUGAUUGCACGGCUAAUCAUGCUGAUGGGAAGUUCAAUUCUGGGUCUAUUCCUGGCUUAAAUUGGAGAGCCACCAACAGGAUUUCUAUGCCUCACCAGAGCAGCACAUUUCGGUUAUCUGUUGGUCAGUCAAGCUGCAAAGCUACUAAAGAUGGAAGUAUACGAAUGACAUUGUUAGAUGAGAGGCCAGCGCCUGGCAGAUAUAUGAUUGAGCGCUCUGGUGUAUUGGCUUAUGAUCUUGUUCAAGGAGAACUUGUAAAGUGGAGCUCUGCAAUGGACAAGUCAAUGCCAGAUCCGCCAACAGCUGUGCUUCUGCAUGGCAUUCUAGGUAGCCGAAAAAACUGGGGUAGGUAUUGAAGUAUUUCAAGCUAUUUAUAAUUUUUCUGUCCAUGUUGAUUUGUUUGAAAUAAAUAAUUCAUUACUAAUGUUUUGUCUUAGUGCCAACUCGACAACACGAUAUAUUUUAGGUUGAUGUUAUAGUUCAGAGAAUGCUAUCUCCUAAUUUUUUUUUUUUUUGAACAGGGAUUUCUCAUACUGCUGAUCCAGAUGGGUUUUAUCUUUGAUCUGGUUUUAAAAACAAUCGUAAUUAGCUCUAUCUAUAUUGAAUGAAAUGAAAUGCAAUGCAAGCUAUACACUACAUGAAAUAAUUGGCUGUAUCUAUAUUGGUGGUUGCUGAGAAGGCAAUUAAAGGAGAUAUCGGUUUUUGUCGGCUUAUGUUAAAUAUGGUUCUUUUUAAUUUUCUCUACUUGUUUGGAAUUUGAAUCACUGUGAAAUUUCUUAGGUUAAUUGAGAUUACUUUUGGCUUCUAGGUUAAUUUAAAUUCCAUUUGCUGUGAAAAUCUGGUUUCAUGGCACCAAAUUUGAGUUAUUAUCAGUGUCAAGGGACUUUGCUUGAAGCUAAGAGUAAAGCCAUUUAUAAUAUUAGAUUUUGCAAUUUUUUUUUAUUUGGGUGGUUAUAGUUGAUGCUUCUCAUUUUAUUUUUUCUUAAGAAAAUAAGUCAGACCUAACUCACCCCUAAAAGCUAGCUCAAGGGGGGAGGAGUGCCUAAGGCUAUAUAAGGGGCACAUUACCCCUAUCCCAAACCAAUGUGGGAUAUUAGAGCUCGGACUGGAUUCUGUUGCACUUUAGGGGGAGUGUUGAGAUUAUAAAUCCCACAUCAGAAAAAUAUAAACAUAAAAGGGUAAAUAUA